UGGAAAGGUUCGCCUCACUGGGACAUGAUUUGUUCCCUACUCUGAUGCUGUUGUUUUGCAUUACCCUUUGGAAAAACGAGGCAUUCUUUCUCAUGUCAAAGGAGAGCUUGGCUUGAAAGUAUUUGUUACUGAUAGUCCUUCAAUGAGAUCCUCAAACCCACUUCCUGCAAUGGACUCCUCUCUGUUUACUAAUACAAGUUCAGCCCAAGCUCAAGUACCAGAACAACAAAUACCAAAUCCAGUUCCAAAACUGUUCUCCAGUGACAAGACUGAGUCAAGACAUACAUUUCAUCAUCUUCCAAACACUACCCAGCCCCAGCCUCAGCCUCAGCCUCAGCCACAGCCACAGCCACAGCCACAGCAAUAUGUCCAGGCAGCAGGUCCCCAGCAAGCAAUGAAUUAUGGGACUCAUGAGAUAAGAUCUGAACCUCAGGCUCCAAGAAUUGU
RNAcentral lists this unclassified non-coding RNA (447 nucleotides) under Hevea brasiliensis (rubber tree). The record is from RNAcentral. Lineage: Eukaryota; Viridiplantae; Streptophyta; Magnoliopsida; Malpighiales; Euphorbiaceae.